UCGAGGAGAAAGAUGAAAAGAAGGAUGAGGAGAUGAUCAAACAGGAAGGGAAAACUAGAGUCACCAAUAUAUGAGAACAAGGUCGUGUCUAUGUUAGUGACUCUAGUUUUCCACUCCUGUUUGAUCAUUUCCUCAUUCUUUCUUCUUCUUUUCUUCGAA
RNAcentral lists this microRNA precursor (159 nucleotides) under Corchorus capsularis. RNAcentral's name for it is "pre miRNA MIR2118". Lineage: Eukaryota; Viridiplantae; Streptophyta; Magnoliopsida; Malvales; Malvaceae. The record is from RNAcentral.